GGCUCCCUUGGCCCAUCCACUGUAACCUUUAUAGCUCUGUGGUAUGUAGCGACUUGGGGGGGAUUUGUCAGGACAGUUAUUGUCAAAGUAAAGCUCUUCCCUACAAAGGGAAAAAAACAACAAGGAAUGAGUGAUUACAACAUGAAAACAGUCACAUGCAUGUUCAGUAAAGAAUCAGAGACGUUUAAAAUUAUUCCCUGUCGUUACCACAAUCGUGAAAAUUAAAAACAUAACUGACCAUAGGAGUUUUCCUCCCCUUUAGUUUUACUCUAUGUCAAGAAUAUGUCCAUGUGUUGACAAUCUAAAUGUUCCUUAUUUAAUAAUGGGUCAUCAUACAAUGACAGAACAAAAGUGAUUCACUGCUGAGGACAAGCCAAAUUCUUUUCUGUAUUGAAAGUGGUGUAAAUCCAAAGCAAGUCAGAUAAUUUAAAAAUUUACUCCAGUUUUGCAGCUGUGUGACAGAGAGCAGAAUGUGGCCACAUGUUAUUUACUUCACACAGCUUUAUCAUUUCAUUUGUUUGACUCGACUACAAUAAGAUGAGGAAAGACUGUAUUUUCCUCCUGGGAGUCAUUUUAACAGGGAACCAAUGUCUCCUGUCCUUCAUAUGCCAGGGGUAAUAUAAUGAUAUCAUUAUUACUGGAACAGACUUUUUUCCUUACAUAUAUUCCAUCUAUUAAACCCUAAGAAAGCCCUCGAUUUUCUAAAGACGGUGAGAAACCCCUUUGUGCACACACGCUUCCCUCCUAAGCCUGCUUCUUUAUUUUUCAGAGCUCAAAUUCACACAGAUAUUGCACAAGCUCAUCUGGAGCCUUCGGCUGAAUGAAAACGUUAAAAAUAAAUAAAUGAGCCGAGCCGCGUGAGCCCGAGCGCACAUUCUCACAAGCCACUGGCCUCCGUUCGGGGGACUCACUGACAGUUGUAAUCUGUUAGAUAUGCAACGGUUAGUCAUGUCAGAUAGUCAAAACUGAAAACUGUUUCAAGACAGGAAAAGGUGGGCGUAUAACAGUGACUCAAUAAAAGUCAGCAAUCUUAGGCCUUCUUGCUCGUUUAAACUGCUACUUUACCAGACUCUUAAAUAUUUUUUUCUCUCUCUCUCUGUCUAUGUGCAUUUUUGUUGCCUGUGCUUUUCCUCUUGUUGAACUCCAAAGGCAUUUGAUCAAGACACAAAUCUUCAACAACAUGUAACAGCACAAACUUAACGCAGUUUUUUCAAGCCUAAUACAGAACAGCUUAUAUAAAAGGCAUAAUACGGAACAGAGCUUUGGCUGUCAAAUCUAGUAAUUGGUCUUUCUUUCUGGUCCAAGCCGUAUAUAUCCCCCAAAACCUGCCUGAGACAUGCAUCAUUUAUUAUCCGGAGUGCAACUCCAAACCGUCUCGGCUAUAUUUUUCACAAAUCAAAAUGUGACAUGGAUUUUUUUUUAAGGAAAUAUAACUGUCACUUGGAGUAAAGUGCUUUUCCAGGUGUAGCUGCGCUCCAGCUGCGCCCACCCCUCCGUGAGAGUGGAGGUCAAGAUGCUGGCAAAGGUGUAAAAAUCUCAGGAGGCUCAGUUCGGCCUCGGAUGCCAACAGAGAUGCAUGGCUGAAGGUGGCUGCCCCCAGUGCCACGGGGAAAUGGGUUAUUUCCCACAUCUUUUCAGAAUGACCACCAUGGGAGAGUAAGGUGUUUGUAGGAUGUCCGGUCUUACAGUCCUGCCCAUCCACAGCCCCCCAUGUAACCUGUUUCUUUUGCCAGUGUCGGCAUGCACGCAGGCAGAGCUCAGACGUACAGCAGCUUCCUUAAUGAAGCAUACAGUGCCUGCACGCCUGCUUGUUUAGGUCUGAAAGGCUCUGAGCCUUUUAUCCCUAUCCAAGCAGGAAUUCAGCCUAUUGCCUGGAUACCUAUAAAUUCACCAGGGACAGACUUAAGGCCUCCUUUAGCACCAGCCUAUCGUGUCAAAGAGCUCAUACGAAAUCAUGCGAUGCCGCCAUUCAGACCACAGUUACCCAUAUAAAACGGGUAGAAUACUAUUGGCAGCUGCCAAAGAUGCUAAAGGGAUUUUCCAUACACCUCGGAAUGAAGAAUUUGGCCUUCCAACGCUACCGUUCUAUUUCUGUGCCAAAUCAGUACUAAAGUCUAUUACAACGAAAAAUUAGCCUAGCAAAACAUACUAUUUCAAAGACCCUGUAAAAUAAUUUAGACGAAAAGCACUGCAAGGUUUUCUACACUAAAUAUAUCUUCGGAUGAUACAGCAGCCAGCAAAUACGCGCUCCUUCAUCAAGAGCUGCGUUUCGACCUCGCCUGUGAGCACUUCAUUACUGCCUCUCAGCCAGCCUAAGUUGAACAGUCUGGAAGACAAGUCUGGACCAAUUUCUCCAUCCUGCCUCUGGCAGCAGAAUGCAGCAUUUCAGAUCCUCCACCGAGUCCCGGCUGCUUCAAAGGAAAAGCCCUACUUUCUUCCGUUAAGAUCAUAAGAAAUAUAGGGGGAGGGGGUCAGCUCUGUUUGGACAUAAUUACACUUCAUCAAAAGAAGCUUUCUUCAUCUUCCAUGCGUGAAAAGUCUGCAAGCAGGCUGGUUUAAAAAUGAAUAAUUACUGUGAGUACGUAAAGCAAAAAUAUUUAGGUUGAAGCAAGGACUGAUAUAACAAACCCCUCUGAGGAUUCCUGCAGCAAAGACUGAAGUGCCAGCUUCCUUCAAGCGAUCCUUUCAAGCACUACCUCAAAUUUUAAGGCAGCUACAAGAAUCUUAAAUUCUUUUGAGACUCGCAGUGAUUACACAGGCUUUCUAUAACUGCAGUGCGCUUCCCAGGUUACAGAAGGUCCAAAACAGCUGGAGGACAAUGACAGCACUCUAAAUCUUCAAAAAAAUUGAAAGUCACCUGCUCUGACAUUUCAAGUAAAGGUUAAAUUUUGUUCGAGCCAAAGCUUAUAGCAAUUCAUAAAAAAGUCAGCCAGGUUACUAAAAAGAAAAGUAAGGCUUAUCUCUGUGGGUCAUAUGCAGUUUGAUCGUAAAGGGCAGGGAAGUCACUAGAAAGCUUUCUACCAAUAGCUGUAAGCCCUUAAAGAAUAUAACCUAUAGCACAUGUGAUAUGCAAAACCGCCGUAAUUAUAGCUCUUCUGCAACAACUUCAGAAGAAGCUCUGCUGCUAAAGGGAAUUCUGUGUCUCUCGUUACCGUGGCCUGAGAUGCACUAUCUGACUGUACAAAACUCAUCACAAAUAUCCUCACUUUCUUCCACUUUUGCUGUUCAAUUAAAAUAGGGAACCAAGGUAUUCUGUGAAUCAUUUUUGUAAAACUGGUGUCUCAAAAAUGAACAAAGACGCGGCAGAAAAACUUUGCGAGGGAGAAAACCACUUCACUUGGUUGGACAAAGUUUGCUGAAGCUUGCGAAUAAAAGAUGCAUUCAUGAAAGGCUGACAGCGAUUUAUUUACACGCUAAUCUGUAUUUCCUUGUGAAAUGAGUCUGAUGUCUAGACUUUUCUUUUGCUUCACUACGAACACGUACAGCGCAGUGGCCUACCUCUUCCGCUUCUUCCCACAAAUCGUAAGUCAUUGAAUCUGGCCACCUGGUUCUUCAUCACGGCAGAAGCGUUUCGCAGCUCUGCAGAGUAGUUCUCAUCGUUUCCAGCCAUGACAGUGACCACGGUCCCAUCAGGCACUUCUCCCAAGGCCAC
Molecule: long non-coding RNA, 3652 nt
Organism: Cygnus olor (mute swan)
Lineage: Eukaryota; Metazoa; Chordata; Aves; Anseriformes; Anatidae
Exons: 3
Source: RefSeq, a predicted model, not a curated record